AACUACCAUACCAGUGCUAAUUAACUAGCACUAAUACAUUAGUGCUUUUACGUACUUCGUGCAUUACUGUUAGUCCCCAUGGAUAAUAUAUA
Molecule: non-coding RNA, 92 nt
Organism: Macaca mulatta (Rhesus monkey)
Lineage: Eukaryota; Metazoa; Chordata; Mammalia; Primates; Cercopithecidae
Source: Rfam